UCCGUAGGUGAACCUGCGGAAGGAUCAUUACUGAUUUGCUUAAUUGCACCACAUGUGUUUUUCUUUGAAACAAACUUGCUUUGGCGGUGGGCCCAGCCUGCCGCCAGAGGUCUAAACUUACAACCAAUUUUUUAUCAACUUGUCACACCAGAUUAUUACUAAUAGUCAAAACUUUCAACAACGGAUCUCUUGGUUCUCGCAUCGAUGAAGAACGCAGCGAAAUGCGAUACGUAAUAUGAAUUGCAGAUAUUCGUGAAUCAUCGAAUCUUUGAACGCACAUUGCGCCCUCUGGUAUUCCGGAGGGCAUGCCUGUUUGAGCGUCGUUUCUCCCUCAAACCGCUGGGUUUGGUGUUGAGCAAUACGACUUGGGUUUGCUUGAAAGACGGUAGUGGUAAGGCGGGAUCGCUUUGACAAUGGCUUAGGUCUAACCAAAAACAUUGUUUGCGGCGGUAACGUCCACCACGUAUAUCUUCAAACUUUGACCUCAAAUCAGGUAGGACUACCCGCUGAACUUAAGCAUAUC
RNAcentral lists this ribosomal RNA (523 nucleotides) under Candida albicans. RNAcentral describes it as "eukaryotic LSU rRNA". The stretch from base 170 to 323 matches the Rfam family "5.8S ribosomal RNA". The record is from RNAcentral. Lineage: Eukaryota; Fungi; Ascomycota; Pichiomycetes; Serinales; Debaryomycetaceae.